GACGAACGCUGGCGGCGGGCUUAACACAUGCAAGUCGAACGGAAAGGCCCUGCUUUUGUGUGGUGCUCGAGUGGCGAACGGGUGAGUAACACGGGAGUAACCCUGCCUUUGCGUUGGGAUGACUUCAGGAAACUGGGGCUAAUACCUGAUAGGAGCUCCUGCUGCAUGGUGGGGGUUGGAAAGUUUAGGCUGGUGUGGGUGGACUGGCGGCUUAUCAGCUUGUGGGUUGGGUAGUCGCUUACCAAGGCUUUGACGGGUCGGCGGCCUGAGAGGGUGGACGGCGUCAUUGGGCCUGAGAUACGGAGCAGACUGCUACGGGAGACAGCAGUCGAAAGUAUGGCACAAUGGGGGGGAGCGUGAUGAGGAAGCGCCGCGAGCGUGAUGCCGGCCUUGGGGUUGUAAACCGCUUUAGCCUGUGACGAUGCGUGAGUGACGGUAAUGGGUGAAGAAGCACCGGCUAACUACGUG
This 468-nucleotide ribosomal RNA is filed under the name uncultured bacterium. Its description in RNAcentral is "partial 16S ribosomal RNA". It matches the Rfam family "Bacterial small subunit ribosomal RNA", at positions 28 to 507 of the family's 1533-position model. The record is from RNAcentral.